Long non-coding RNA from Ictalurus punctatus (channel catfish), 582 nucleotides. Lineage: Eukaryota; Metazoa; Chordata; Actinopteri; Siluriformes; Ictaluridae. The record is from Ensembl.
UGUUUUGUGUUUGCAUGCUGCAUUCAUGCGUAACUUUUUAUGCAAGCACGCAGUGAUUUUUAAAGGUUCACAACUAAUUACAUUUUUACUGGUGUCUAGUUAAAUCAAAAUAUAUAUAUUUUUUAAUCUCUUCCAUUAGUCUGUUGUUAGUCUUUAGUGUGUAGUUAGUGUGUAGUUAGUGUGUAGUUAGUGUGUAGUUAGUGUGUAGUUAGUGUGUAGUUAGUGUGCAGUUAGUGUGUAGUUAGUGUGUAGUUAGUGUGUCGUUAGUGUGUAGUUAGUGUGUAGUUAGUGUGUAGUUAGUGUGCAGUUAGUGUGAAAUUAGUGUGUAGUUAGUGUGUAGUUAGCGUGUAGUUAGUGUGAAAUUAGUGUGUAGUUAGUGUUUAGUGUGUGUGUAGUUAGUGUGUAGUUAGUGUGAAAUUAGUGUGUAGUUAGUGUGUAAUUAGUGUGUAGUUAGUGUGUAGUUAGUGUGAAAUUAGUGUGUAGUUAGUGUGUAGUUAGCGUGUGUUAGUGUGUAGUUAGUGUGUAAUUAGGUUGUAGUUAGCAUGUAGUUAGCGUGUAGUGUGUAGUUAGUGUGUAGUUAGU